This 459-nucleotide ribosomal RNA is filed under the name uncultured bacterium. RNAcentral describes it as "partial 16S ribosomal RNA". It matches the Rfam family "Bacterial small subunit ribosomal RNA", at positions 338 to 795 of the family's 1533-position model. The record is from RNAcentral.
CCUACGGGAGGCAGCAGUGAGGAAUAUUGGUCAAUGGACGAGAGUCUGAACCAGCCAAGUAGCGUGAAGGAUGACUGCCCGAUGGGUUGUAAACUUCUUUUAUAAAGGAAUAAAACGAGGCACGUGUGCCUUUUUGCAUGUACUUUAUGAAUAAGGAUCGGCUAACUCCGUGCCAGCAGCCGCGGUAAUACGGAGGAUCCGAGCGUUAUCCGGAUUUAUUGGGUUUAAAGGGAGCGUAGAUGGGUUGUUAAGUCAGCGGUAAAAUUUCGGGGCUCAACCCCGUCGUGCCGUCGAAACUGGCGUUCUUGAGUGAGCGAGAAGUAUGCGGAAUGCGUGGUGUAGCGGUGAAAUGCAUAGAUAUCACGCAGAACUCCGAUUGCGAAGGCAGCAUACCGGCGCUCAACUGACGCUCAUGCACGAAAGCGUGGGUAUCGAACAGGAUUAGAUACCCCUGUAGUC